RNAcentral lists this long non-coding RNA (351 nucleotides) under Vigna radiata. RNAcentral describes it as "long non-coding RNA (VRAD_LNC016209)". Lineage: Eukaryota; Viridiplantae; Streptophyta; Magnoliopsida; Fabales; Fabaceae. The record is from RNAcentral.
AGGGAUGCAAAACCUAGAGCCCCAGGUCCUUUAAAUAGUGUCAGACGCAUCCCAAAGUGUGGCCCAGUCCAAAAGAAUCAAAACAGAGCAUAAACAGGGCCCGAUCCAGGUGAAUUCUCACUCAAGCGUCGUAGGGAGCUCGCCCAGGCGAGAAUUGGCCAUCAUGUAUGGCCUGGGCGCCAGAUUUGGACACCCAAGCUACGAGCGUCUGUCGCCCGGGCGACCAACGUCGAUACUGCUCGCGCAAUUUUCGUUCCUAGAUGCUCGGGCUUCACAUUUUCCCUCCUUUUGGUGCCUUUCUGAACUCUUCUUGGAUUUUUACUUCUUCUUCCAGUAUUACUUCAAUCUCUG